UACGGGGGGAGCAAGCGUUGUUCGGAUUUACUGGGCGUAAAGGGCGCGUAGGCGGCGCAACAAGUCACUUGUGAAAUCUCCGGGCUUAACCCGGAGCGGCCAAGUGAUACUGUCGUGCUAGAGUGCGGAAGGGGCUACUGGAAUUCUCGGUGUAGCGGUGAAAUGCGUAGAGCUCGGGAAGAGCAUCGGUGGCGAAAGCGCUCUACUGGACUGCAACUGACACUGAGGGACGAAAGCUAGGGGAGCGAAUGGG
Molecule: ribosomal RNA, 253 nt
Filed under: uncultured bacterium
Lineage: Bacteria
Description: partial 16S ribosomal RNA
Rfam family: Bacterial small subunit ribosomal RNA
Source: RNAcentral